RNAcentral lists this transfer RNA (72 nucleotides) under Camelus bactrianus (Bactrian camel). It matches the Rfam family "tRNA". Rfam says of the family: Transfer RNA (tRNA) molecules are approximately 80 nucleotides in length. Their secondary structure includes four short double-helical elements and three loops (D, anti-codon, and T loops). Lineage: Eukaryota; Metazoa; Chordata; Mammalia; Artiodactyla; Camelidae. The record is from Rfam by way of RNAcentral. RNAcentral also lists the same sequence under 2 other names.
AAGGGUAUAGCUCAGUGGUAGAGUGCGUGCUUAGCAUGCAUGAGGUCCUGGGUUCAAUCCCCAGUACCUCCA